UACGUAGGGUGCGAGCGUUAAUCGGAAUUACUGGGCGUAAAGCGUGCGCAGGCGGUGAUGUAAGACAGUUGUGAAAUCCCCGGGCUCAACCUGGGAACUGCAUUUGUGACUGCAUCGCUGGAGUGCGGCAGAGGGGGAUGGAAUUCCGCGUGUAGCAGUGAAAUGCGUAGAUAUGCGGAGGAACACCGAUGGCGAAGGCAAUCCCCUGGGCCUGCACUGACGCUCAUGCACGAAAGCGUGGGGAGCAAACAGG
This 253-nucleotide ribosomal RNA is filed under the name uncultured bacterium. RNAcentral's name for it is "partial 16S ribosomal RNA". It matches the Rfam family "Bacterial small subunit ribosomal RNA", at positions 524 to 776 of the family's 1533-position model. The record is from RNAcentral.